GGAACACAGAUGUGGGGCUGGAAGUGGAGCAGCCCCUUUUAGCCAUGAGGCCCAAAGCCACAUGCUAAGGAUGGUGAAGCAGGGGAUAGAAAGAGCCUGUGUCUUUGCUGACUUCCUUAAGCCACGGCACCAGCCUGGGCCUGCCCUACUCUGGACAUCUAAAUGUCAGGAGCUAAGAAUCAAGUCAGUCUAGAGGUGUUCGUUGCCAUGUGGAGAGAUCCUUCCCAAGAAGAAAGAUGCUACAAAGUGUCCUGGAAAUCCUCUUUGCCCAUCCAGAUCCACCCUCCCUAGCCUGCUCUGUAACUCAGGAAGCUGCUUUUCAUGGUUCACAUAAACCAGGCUCCUGUACCCUCCAGAUAGGUCCAUCCUAUGGGUGGUACCAGCAGGAGACCAGAGAGAUGAAGGAGGGAAAAAAAGAACAUUAGGGGUUGAAUUGUAUCACCCCAAAAUUCAUAUGGUGAAGUAUAACCCCUUCGGAAUGUAACCUUAUUGGAAAUGUCAGAGGCACGUGAACCAGAGCAACUCCAUCUUGAAUAGGGGCUGGGUAAAAUGAGGCUGAGACCUAUUGGGCUGCAUUCCCAGACGGUUAAGGCAUUCCAAGUCACAGGAUGAGAUAGGAGGUUGGCACAACAUAUAGGUCAUAAAGACCUUGCUGAUGAAACAGUUGCAGUAAAGAAGCCAGCCAAAGCGCACCAAAACCAAGAUGGCGACAAGAGUGACCUCUGGGCAUCCUCACUGCUACACUCCCAGCAGCGCCAUGACAGUUUACAAAUGCCAUGGCAACAUCAGAAAGUUACCCUAUAUCAUCUAAACAUGGGAGGCAUGAAUAAUCCAACCCUUGCUUAGCAUAUACUCAAGAAAUAACCAUAAAAAUGGGCAGCCAGCAGCCCUCAGGGCUGCUCUGUUUAUGGAGUAGGCAUUCUUUUAUUCCUGUACUUUCC
RNAcentral lists this long non-coding RNA (941 nucleotides) under Pan troglodytes (chimpanzee). RNAcentral's name for it is "long non-coding RNA NONPTRT006229". Lineage: Eukaryota; Metazoa; Chordata; Mammalia; Primates; Hominidae. The record is from RNAcentral.